CCGGCUGGCCAGAAACUGUGGUGUGUGUGUGUCAGGAUCCCAGGGGCACCGUCCAGCAGGAGGGGCCGGUGGUCAACGUGGAGGCCCGAGAUUCCCACCCCUGGCAGCUGAUGUGAAUAGCCGGGUCCUCCCAGGUCCCUGAGGUCAAGGCAGGUCAAAGACCUGUGUCCUCCUCCUGGGUCCCUGAGCUAGUGAUUCCUGUCUGAAACACAUGAAUCAUUACUGCCACCCAUGAGGGGCCCAUUGUAACCGAGCGAGAGGGCCUGGAAGAGGUCAGCGGGAGGAGGGGCCUGAUCGGUGGAUCAGCUAUCCCUGUGCAAGGACCCGGAGCCCAUCAGAGCAGCCUGCAGAGACUGAGCUUGAG
RNAcentral lists this long non-coding RNA (364 nucleotides) under Homo sapiens (human). RNAcentral describes it as "HSALNT0145242". The record is from RNAcentral. Lineage: Eukaryota; Metazoa; Chordata; Mammalia; Primates; Hominidae.